RNAcentral lists this long non-coding RNA (908 nucleotides) under Salvia miltiorrhiza (redroot sage). RNAcentral's name for it is "long non-coding RNA (SMIL_LNC008193)". Lineage: Eukaryota; Viridiplantae; Streptophyta; Magnoliopsida; Lamiales; Lamiaceae. The record is from RNAcentral.
CUCUUUCUCCCUCUCGGUCUUCUCACUCUCACUCCCCCGCCGCACCUCCAUCUGCCAUCCCUAGACUCUCCCAUCUCCCAUCUCCCUCAGUCGGCGUCGUGCCUCACCUCCAUCGCCGGUCAUCUUCUCCGAUUCACCCGCCCGCCGCUGGAGUCACGCUCGCCGCUCGAUCUCUGCUUCGCUCGCCCUCCCUUCUUCGCUCGCCGUCCCUGCUUCGCUCGCCGUCCCUGCUUCGCUCCCUCCAUCGCCCGCUGCCUGGAGUCACGCCGCGCUCGCUCGCCCGCCAGCAGCAGCGGCAGUGCAGCCUCCAGUUCCAGUUCGGCUCGCCGCACUCCACCGCCGUCGCCGCCUCUGUCACUUCAGUCCGGCUCGCCGCACUCCACCGCCGCCGUCGUUCAGCCAUGAGCUUGUCUACCACAGGAUGCUCUAAAUCAAAGGUUAGAUUUUGAUUUUGAGCAUGUUUAAAUUCGAAAAUUAUAUUCUGAUUUGAGAUUGAUUCUGAUUCUGAUUUGAGCAUGUUCAGCCGUCGUUCUGUCACUUGGAGUUGAUUCUUGUGGGAUUUUGAUGCACUUGGAUAUCUCUUGUUUGUUGGAUAUCUCUUGUUUGCUGGAUUCUUGCUGGAUUCGAAAAUUAUAGGUUUAACUGGAUAUCUCUUGUUUGCUGUCUGCUGAUUUUGAUGCACUUGGAGUCGAAAAUUAACUGUAUUUCUUGUUUGCUGUCUGCUGUACUUGUUUGAUGCACCUAGACUAAGCCAAAUGUUGCUAUACUUGUUUGCUGUUUGCUUUUGUUUUAUAUCAGAGAGGAAUAUGCAGCAUGCUUACAUAUUUUAUGAUUAUGAAUUUAGAGAUUUAUGAUUUGUUUUGUUUUUGUAGGAGAGUGAAAAUAAGUUGAAUGAAGAAGAGUUUGUU